Molecule: transfer RNA, 57 nt
Filed under: Ktedonobacter sp.
Lineage: Bacteria; Bacillati; Chloroflexota; Ktedonobacteria; Ktedonobacterales; Ktedonobacteraceae
Description: tRNA-Leu
Rfam family: tRNA
About the family: Transfer RNA (tRNA) molecules are approximately 80 nucleotides in length. Their secondary structure includes four short double-helical elements and three loops (D, anti-codon, and T loops).
Source: RNAcentral
GGCAGAGCUCUGGAUUGUGGCUCCAGCGGUUGUGGGUUCAAGCCCCAUCGAUCACCC